AUGGGCCACCUAGUCCACCCCCAAUCUGCCAGGCAGGAAAAGCACCAUCAAAGCCCUCCUAACAGAUGGCCACCCAACCUCAACAACAACAGGGUGGGCAGAGACCACAUAGGCCAUCUAGUCUACCCCCAAUCUGCCAUGCAGGAAAAGCACAAUCAAAGCCCUACAGCCUCAAUAAAUAAUAACAACAAUAGUAAUAUAAAUAAUAGGGUGGGAAGAGACCACAUGGGCCACCUAGUCCAUUCCCCAUGCAGGAAAAGCACAAAGCACAAUCAAGGCCCUCCUAACAGACAGCCACCCAGCCUCAGUAAUAAUAAUAAUAAUAAUAGUAGUAAUAAUAAUGUGAGAAAAUACCACAGGGGCCACCUAGUCCACCCCCAAUCUGCCAGGCAGGAAAAGCACCAUCAAAGCCCUCCUAACAGAUGGCCACCCAACCUCAACAACAACAGGGUGGGCAGAGACCACAUAGGCCAUCUAGUCUACCCCCAAUCUGCCAUGCAGGAAAAGCACAAUCAAAGCCCUACAGCCUCAAUAAAUAAUAACAACAAUAGUAAUAUAAAUAAUAGGGUGGGAAGAGACCACAUGGGCCACCUAGUCCAUUCCCCAUGCAGGAAAAGCACAAAGCACAAUCAAGGCCCUCCUAACAGACAGCCACCCAGCCUCAGUAAUAAUAAUAAUAAUAAUAGUAGUAAUAAUAAUGUGAGAAAAUACCACAGGGGCCACCUAGUCCACCCCCAAUCUGCCGUGCAGGAAAAGCACAAUCAAAGCCCUCCAGACAGAUGGCCACCCAGACUCAACAACAACAACAACAACAAGGUGGGAAGAGACCACCUGGGCCACCUUCAUGCAGGGAAAGCACCCGCGAAUGCCCCUUACUCCUUCUUGGCCUCCUCGGGGGGCUUGGCCUCCUCCUUUCCCUCGGCCUCGGGCUCCUUGGGGGGCUCUGUCUCCGCAGCGGCUGCCGUGGCCGUGACGGCCGGAGGCAGAGCCUCGCUCUCCUGCUCCUCCACAGUUGAGGCAGAUUCCUCUGAACUGGCAUCAGGAUCUAAGGAAGCAGGACAGAAGGAGGCGACAGGCAAAGGUUUAGCUAGUAAAGGUAAAGGUUUUCCCCUGACUUUAGGUUCAGUCGUGCCCGACUUUGGGGCUCGUCUUCGUUUCUAA
Molecule: long non-coding RNA, 1161 nt
Filed under: Anolis carolinensis (green anole)
Lineage: Eukaryota; Metazoa; Chordata; Lepidosauria; Squamata; Anolidae
Description: lncRNA (ENSACAG00000040901.1)
Source: RNAcentral